Molecule: ribosomal RNA, 252 nt
Filed under: uncultured bacterium
Lineage: Bacteria
Description: partial 16S ribosomal RNA
Rfam family: Bacterial small subunit ribosomal RNA
Source: RNAcentral
UACGUAGGGCGCAAGCGUUGUCCGGAAUUAUUGGGCGUAAAGAGCUCGUAGGCGGUUUGUCGCGUCCGCUGUGAAAACCUAAGGCUCAACCUUGGGCUUGCAGUGGGUACGGGCAGACUAGAGUGCGGUAGGGGUGACUGGAAUUCCUGGUGUAGCGGUGGAAUGCGCAGAUAUCAGGAGGAACACCGUGGCUAAGGCGGCUCUCUAGUACGGUACUGACGCUGAGACGCGAAAGCGUGGGGAGCGAACAGG